UGAGGUAGAUAGUGACGGUACUCUACACGGAAGUGACGGCUUACUUCGUUCCCGCAACCGCGGUAAAACGUAGGUUACAAGCGUUGUCCGGAAUUUCUGGGUGUAAAGGGGGGGCUGGCGGGAGUACAAGUUGGAAGUGAAAUCCAUGGGCUUAACCCAUGAGCUGCUUUCAGAACUGCUCGUUUUGAGUGAUGGAGAGGCAGGGGGAAUUUCGUGUGUUGGGGUGAAAUGGGUAGAUAUUUGGAAGAACCCCCGUGGGGAAGGCGGCCUGCUGGACAUUAACUGACGGUGAGGCGUGAAAGGGUGGGGAGCCAACCAGAUUAGAUUCCCUGGUUGUUCCCACCGUUAACGAUGGAUACAUAGGUGUUGGAGGUAUUGACCUCUUCGGUGCCGCAGUUAACACAAUAAGUAUCCCACCUGGGGAGUACGGCCUCAAGGGUUGAAAUUCAAAGGAAUUGACGGGGGCCCGCACAAGACAGUGGAGUUUGUGGUCUAAUUAGAAGCAACGGUAAGAACCUUUCCAGGUCUUGACAUCCGGAUGACCAGCUCAGAGUCGAGCAUUUUCUUAGGAACAUCGGUGACAGGUGGUGCAUGGUUGUGGUCAGCUUGUGUCGUGAGAUGUUGGGUUAAGUCCUGCAAGGAGCGCAACCCUUAUGGUCAGUUAUUACGCAAGAGGACUCUGGCCAGCCUUCCAGUUGACAAAACGGAGGAAGGUGGGGAGGAUGUCAAAUCAUCAUACCCGUUUAUGUCUUGGGCUACACAGGUACUACAACGGCGUUAAACAAAGAGAAGCAAGACCGGGAGGAGGAGCAAAACUCAGAAAUAACGUCUCAGUUAGGAAGGCAGGAUGCAAUUAGCCUGCAAGAAGUCGGAAUUGCUAGUAAUGGCAGAUCAGCAUGAGGCGGUGAAUACGUUCCCGGCCCUUGUACACACCGCCCGUCA
This 942-nucleotide ribosomal RNA is filed under the name uncultured bacterium. Its description in RNAcentral is "bacterial SSU rRNA". It matches the Rfam family "Bacterial small subunit ribosomal RNA", at positions 458 to 1399 of the family's 1533-position model. The record is from RNAcentral.